GGUUAGGGUAUGGAUUAAAAAAGAAAAAAAGGGAAAACAAGGGGCUUUUGGUUUAGAAUCGAUGUUACAUCAUGUGUUUGUUUCUUUUAUUUCCUCGGUUUUCUUUUCUUAUUUCUUUUUCACAUACUGCCCUUUUCCGUGCUUCUUUCUUUUGAAUCUUCGAGUAGUCGUUUUUUUUUAUUUUUCUUUCUUUUUCUCGAUUCAUCAAUUUUUCUUUUUCUUUUAUUUUUGCACUUUCUUGGGCUUUGAGAGCUUUUGGGGUUUUUACCCCAAACUUAGCUUUUCAACACAGCUUUGAAUGCAUUCUCAUGACUCUGAACAGGGUGAGG
This 329-nucleotide long non-coding RNA is filed under the name Lathyrus oleraceus (garden pea). RNAcentral describes it as "Pisum sativum (pea) long non-coding RNA (PSAT_LNC019406)". Lineage: Eukaryota; Viridiplantae; Streptophyta; Magnoliopsida; Fabales; Fabaceae. The record is from RNAcentral.